Molecule: ribosomal RNA, 253 nt
Filed under: uncultured bacterium
Lineage: Bacteria
Description: partial 16S ribosomal RNA
Rfam family: Bacterial small subunit ribosomal RNA
Source: RNAcentral
UACGUAGGGUGCAAGCGUUUAAUCGGAAUUACUGGGCGUAAAGCGUGCGCAGGCGGCUAUGUAAGACAGAUGUGAAAUCCCCGGGCUCAACCUGGGAACUGCAUUGUGACUGCAUCGCUGGAGUACGGCAGAGGGGGAUGGAAUUCCGCGUGUAGCAGUGAAAUGCGUAGAUAUGCGGAGGAACACCGAUGGCGAAGGCAAUCCCCUGGGCCUGUACUGACGCUCAUGCACGAAAGCGUGGGGAGCAAACAGG